RNAcentral lists this ribosomal RNA (367 nucleotides) under uncultured organism. RNAcentral's name for it is "bacterial LSU rRNA". It matches the Rfam family "Bacterial large subunit ribosomal RNA", at positions 2099 to 2465 of the family's 2925-position model. The record is from RNAcentral.
CUUUACUGUAGCUUGGAAUUGGGUUCGGGCUUUGCUUGCGCAGGAUAGGUGGGAGACUAUGAAGUUGCUCUUGUGGGAGUAAUGGAGUCAACGGUGGGAUACCACUCUGGUGAGGCUAGAAUUCUAACUUGUUCCCGUUAUCCGGGAGAAGGACAAUUUCAGGUGGGCAGUUUGACUGGGGCGGUCGCCUCCUAAAAGGUAACGGAGGCGCGCAAAGGUUUCCUCAGGCUGGUUGGAAAUCAGCCGAAGAGUGUAAAAGCAGAAGGAAGCUUGACUGUGAGACUGACAAGUCAAACAGGGACGAAAGUCGGCUUUAGUGAUCCGACGGUUCCAUGUGGAAGGGCCGUCGCUCAACGGAUAAAAGUUA